RNAcentral lists this unclassified non-coding RNA (25 nucleotides) under Mus musculus (house mouse). RNAcentral's name for it is "oocyte_clustered_small_RNA6876". The record is from RNAcentral. Lineage: Eukaryota; Metazoa; Chordata; Mammalia; Rodentia; Muridae.
UGGUGAAUCUUCAGAUCCGGAAAGA